CACGUAGGGGGCGAGCGUUGUCCGGAUUUAUUGGGCGUAAAGAGCUCGUAGGCGGCUUGUUGCGUCGACCGUGAAAACCCGGGGCUCAACCCCGGGCCUGCAUUCGAUACGGGCAGACUAGAGUUCGGUAGGGGAGUCUGGAAUUCCUGGUGUAGCGGUGAAAUGCGCAGAUAUCAGGAGGAACACCGGUGGCGAAGGCGGGUCUCUGGGCCGAUACUGACGCUGAGGAGCGAAAGCAUGGGUAGCGAACAGG
RNAcentral lists this ribosomal RNA (253 nucleotides) under uncultured bacterium. RNAcentral describes it as "partial 16S ribosomal RNA". It matches the Rfam family "Bacterial small subunit ribosomal RNA", at positions 524 to 776 of the family's 1533-position model. The record is from RNAcentral.